UACGGGGGGGCAAGCGUUGUUCGGAAUUACUGGGCGUAAAGGGCUCGUAGGCGGCCAACUAAGUCGGAUGUGAAAUCCCCAGGCUUAACUUGGGAACUGCAUCCGAUACUGGAUGGCUUGAAUCCGGGAGAGGGAUGCGGAAUUCCAGGUGUAGCGGUGAAAUGCGUAGAUAUCUGGAGGAACACCGGUGGCGAAGGCGGCAUCCUGGACCGGCAUUGACGCUGAUGAGCGAAAGCCAGGGGAGCAAACGGG
Molecule: ribosomal RNA, 252 nt
Filed under: uncultured bacterium
Lineage: Bacteria
Description: partial 16S ribosomal RNA
Rfam family: Bacterial small subunit ribosomal RNA
Source: RNAcentral